Non-coding RNA from Aedes albopictus (Asian tiger mosquito), 74 nucleotides. Lineage: Eukaryota; Metazoa; Arthropoda; Insecta; Diptera; Culicidae. The record is from Rfam.
GGCUCCGUAGCUUAGAGGGAAGAAGCGCCCGUCAAGCGAAUUGGGAGUCGUAGGUUCAAUUCCCACCGGAGCAU